This 4669-nucleotide long non-coding RNA is filed under the name Sus scrofa (pig). RNAcentral's name for it is "lncRNA (ENSSSCG00005024913.1)". The record is from RNAcentral. Lineage: Eukaryota; Metazoa; Chordata; Mammalia; Artiodactyla; Suidae.
UUUUUUUCCUUGGCUGUGCCUGUGGCAUGUGGAAGUUCCUGGGCAGGGUUUGAACCUGCCCAUCGGUGACCUGAGCCACAGCAGUGACAAUGCCGGAUCCUUAACCACCACCAGGGAACUCCCUUGACCAUGCAUUUUAUUUUAUUUUGUUGUAUUUUAUUUUUUGCCUAGUACUAUUUUAUUAUAAGAAUAUAUCAUAUUAUUUGACCAUGCAUUUUAAAACUACACUGCUCCACUUAAGGAGAAUCAUUGUUCUUUUUGUGAGUAAGCCUGGAGAGUUUUAAGCCAGAGAGUGCUGUGAAUGUACUUGCAAUUUGGAAAGAUUUGGUUGUGAUGAGGAGAGCUUGUGAGAACGAAUUCACAGAAGGUGGAGAAGACCGCUGGUUCAUUCCGAAACCGUAAACGAGCAUCUGCUGUGUGCCAGACAUCUUGUGGGCCCUGAGUGGACGAGACAUCCCCGCCCACCCGCGUGGAGUUAAGUUCUUCUUGCAAGGGGUGCCAUGAAGGUAGCAGGUCAGGAGGGCAGUGAGGAUGCAUUUGAAAGCUCUUCAGCUGUGACGGGAGACAGACUUAAAUGGCAGAUUUAAAGUGGGCACAAGGAGGUGACCGCUGCUAGGUUUCUGACUCAGGUGACUUGGUGGUUGGUGGUUCUUGCAUUGAAAAGGGAUGUAGCAGUUUUGAGAUGGAUUGAGACACCCGCACACAGUAAUUCAGGCAGCGUUUAUUGAGACUAAUCAUGACUCUUCUCCCAUCUCGCCUCUAAGUUGGGGCCACCUCGUCUGUCCUCCUGUUGAACCUGGUUCCUUGUCCAUGUUACAGCCCUUCUCUUGUCUUUAGGUGAGGGUUAGCUUUUCCACUGCCCAUUGAGGAUGGAGACUGCCCAUCUCCUUUUCGUACCCCUGCUUGGAGAAUGUAGAUGCUGCUUAUUGCCUCCACGGCUGCUGUCCUCCUGUAAGCCAUCGUCCUCUGUCUCUUGGAUCACUGAGGUUGCCUGCUGGUGGUCUUCUGCUGCCGUAUAUUCAAACAUAAGUUGAUAGUUUCUCUGCCCAGAGCCUCACAGUGGCCCACAUCCCACUUAGCGUGAAAGUGAAAGACUUCACAGUGGCUUAUAAGACCUGGUUAGGCUGGUUCUUGUAUUCCUUCUAUGCCUCUUAUCCAGCCUUUGCUUCUUUCAAAUCUUUGCUUAAAUGUUACCUCCUUCCUUCCUUCUUUCUUUCUUUCUUUCUUUCUUGUCUUUUUGCUAUUUCUCAGGCCGCUCCUGUGGCAUAUGGAGGUUCCCAGGCUAGGGGUCGAACCGGAGCCGUAGCUGCCAGCCUACGCCAGAGCCACAGCAACGCGGGAUCCGAGCCGCGUCUGCAACCUACAUCACAGCUCACGGCAAUGCCGGAUUGUUAACCCCCUGAGCAAGGGCAGGGAUCGAACCCGCAACCUCAUGGUUCCUAGUCGGAUUCGUUAACCACUGCGCCACGACGGGAACUCCUAAAUGUUACCUUCUUAGUGAGGCCUGUCUUCAGUUACCUGGCUAUGUAUCUGGAAGUCGAUUAUCUCUAAAAUACAGACAGUCUAGCCACAUACUGUUGUAUUCCAACGAUAUGAUAUUUAGGAGAAAGCAAAACUGUGCAGACAGUAAAAACGUUCACUGGUUGCCCGGAGUUAGAGUAGGAGGGGAAUGACCGACAGAGAUGUUUAGGGCAGGGAAAAUACCCCGUAUGGUGCCGGAGUAACGGGUACAUGUCGUCGUACCUUUGUCCAUGCUCAGAACGCACGGCACCAAAGUGAAUCCUGGUGUACUGUGAACUGUGCGGAUUGCGACGUGUCAGAAUAGGGUCCUCAGUUGUAACAAAUGUCCCACCCCGGUGAGGGGCGUUGAUAAUGGGCGAAGCUGUUCGUGGGUGGGAACAGAGUGUGUGGGAAGUCUCUGUAGCUUCCUCUCAGUUUUGCUGUAAACCCAAAACUGCUCUUAAAAGUUGUCUUUAAAAUAUAAACAACAACAAAAUGAACCACAUAUAUCAUAAUUAAAAUUGAUAACUGUUCCUUAGUAUAAUUAAAUCUCUAGCCGGCAGCUGCAAGCUCUGAUUCGACUCCUAGCCUGGGAACUUAUAUAUGCCACAAGGUGCGGACCUAAAAGCAAAAAAAUAAAAAAAGCUUUAUUGUGGUAUAAUUGACAUUCAGUAAACUGUUAUAUUUAAAGUGUACGGUUUGAUUAGUGUCGACACAUGUAUCCACCAGUGAGAUUAUCGCCACAGUCGGGAUACUGGAUAUAUCAUUAUCUCCCAUUUCCUCUGGCCUCUUCGUGAUUUCUCUCACCUGCCCCUCCUCCCCCAAGCAACCACUCAUCUGCUUUCUGUCGCUGGAGAUUAGUUUGUAUUUUCUAAAGUUUUCUGUAAAUGGGAUCUCAAAUUAUGUACUAUUUCUUAAACAUUUAUUUAUUUUAUGGCUGCACCCAUGGCAUGUGGAAGUUUCCAGGCUGGGGAUUGAAUCUGAGCCGCGGCUGGGAUCUACAUCACAGCUUAGCAGUUGGGGAUGCUUAACCCACUGUGCUUGGCCCAGGAUUGAACCUGAGCCCCUCCAGCCACUCAGGCUGCUGCAUUUGGAUUUUUAAUUCCCUGCGCUACAGCGGGAGCUCCAGUUAUGUACUGUUUUGUCUGGCUUCUUUCAACACAGUUAUCUUGAGACUCAUCCACAGUUGCAUGUAUCAGUUGAUUCGUCUUUUUUAUUGCUGACUGGUAGUACCUUGUGUGGCUACACCACAGCUUUUUUAUUCAUUCACCUCUUGGUGGACAUUUGAGUUAUUUCCAUUGUUCGGCUUUGACAAAUAAAGCUGCCAUGAAUAUUUGUGCACAAGUGUGUACACAGUAAAAGAUUUCUUUUUCUUGUGGGUAAAUGCUCAGGAAUGAAUCAUAUAACAGUUGUACACUUAAGUUUUUAAGGAAACAGCAAACUUUUCCAAAGUGGUUUUACAGUUUCACAUUCUCACCAGCAGUGUAUAGAGUUCCAGUGGCUCUCUAACCUAACAUGUGAUACGGUUAGACAUUCUGCUAGCUGUGUAGUGGCAUUAGCUUUUGUUUGCCUAUGGACACAUAUCUCGAACACUUUAAAAAGUACGCUUAUUUGCCAUCCGCUUAGUUUCUUUGGUGAAAUGACAGUUCACUUACGCAUCUGGCUGCAUGGCCUGAAAACACUAUCAAAGCAGGGGAUGGGGACCGCUGUGGGGCUUAUCUCUUUUGUUCCCAUCUUUUAGGAUCACUGAUGUCUGCUGUCCCAAAGACCAGUGUUCUGUGUAUUUUGUUUGUAUUUUCAAGGAGGAGAGGAAAUUUGGUCUCUGUGACGUCCAUCUUGGCCAAAGCACAAAUGAAUUUUAUUUUAUUUUUAUUUUUUGUAUUUUUGUCUUUUCAGGGCUGCACUCAAGGCAUAUGGAGGUUCCCAGGCUAGGGGUCUAAUUGGAACUGUAGCCGCUGGCCUACACCACAGCCAUGCCAGAUCCAAGCCGCGUCUGCGACCUACACCGUAGCUCACGGCAGUGCCGGAUCCUUAACCCACUGAGUGUGUGUGUGAACAUAGAUUUCUUUUUCUUGUGGGUAAAUGCUCAGGAGUGAAUCAUAUAGUAGUUGUACACUUAAGUACACUGAGUGAGGUCAGGGAUCGAACCUGCAACCUCAUGGUUCCUAGUCAGAUUCAUUUCCACUGUGCCACGAUGGGAACCCCUAUUUAUUUAUUCAUUUAUUUAUUUUUGCUUUUCAGGGCCACACCUGUGGCACAUGGAAGUUUCCAGGCUAGGGGUCUAAGCAGAACUGUAGCUGGCGGGCUACGCUGCAGCUACAGCAACACCAGAUCUGAUCCACAUCUGUAACCUACACCACAUACAGCUCCAACCUAACACUGCAUCCUUAACCCACUGAGUGAGGCCAAGGAUUGAAUCUGUGUCCUCAUGGAUACUAGUUGGGUUUGUAAUCCUCUGAGCCACAGCAGAACUCCCUGUGCUGUGGCUCAGUGGCUAAUUUGCUCCUUUGUUCUUUAUAUUUUCUGUAAACUGGUAGUUAAAUUUAGAGGAUUGAUCGUUUUCAAAUUAAAAUUAUUUUUGCAAGAAUAAUUCAUAGGAGAUAUUUUGCCCAUCCUGUUUAAAAUGAAAACCCUUGCUGCACUCCAGUUCCCUAACCUGUUAUAGUGCUUUUAUUUUCACAGGACCCGGCAGCAUAGUACAAGUGUUCAUGUUUAAUAUCUGAUCUAAAAUUUAAACUCCAUAAAGGCACAGUUCUUUGUUUUCUAUAUUGCUCUAUCUCCAGAAGUCUAGAUCAUUGUUCAGCACGUGGUUGGCACAAAGUAAAAAUCUUUUGAAUUAAUGAGUGAGUGAGAUACAAAGGUGCAGAAUUGGUAAGCUGUCAUUACCCUCAUUACCAUUCGUGGAAAAGUAACAUUUUCUUUUGUUAGAAUAAUUGUGCUUAAUAACAUUAUUAAAGACAUUGUAGGAGUUCCCAUCGUGGUGCAGCAGAGAGUCCGACAAGGAACCAUGAGGUUGUGGGUUCGAUCCCAGGGCUCGGAUCUGGCAUUGCUGUGGCUGAUGUGUAGGCCAGCAUCUGUAGCUCCGAUUCAAUCCUUAGCCUGGGAACCUCUCCACAUGCCUCUAGUGCGGCCCUUUUUAAAAAGCGGAAAAAAAAAAAAAGAAAAAAAA